Non-coding RNA from Dipodomys ordii (Ord's kangaroo rat), 70 nucleotides. NCBI's taxonomy places the organism in Eukaryota, Metazoa, Chordata, Mammalia, Rodentia, Heteromyidae. The record is from Rfam.
GGGAAUGUGACUUAGUGGUAGAGUACUUGCCUAUCAUGCAUGAAGCCCUAGGUUUGAUUCCUUAGUACCA